CGCCGCGGUAAUACGUAGGGGGCGAGCGUUGUCCGGAUUUAUUGGGCGUAAAGAGCUCGUAGGUGGUUUGGUAAGUCAAAUGUGAAAUCUCCACGCUCAACGUGGAGGGGCCAUUCGAUACUGCCAUGACUUGAGUUCGGUAGGGGAAUGUGGAAUUCCUGGUGUAGCGGUGAAAUGCGCAGAUAUCAGGAGGAACACCCGUAGCGAAGGCGGCAUUCUGGGCCGAUACUGACACUGAGGAGCGAAAGCGUGGGGAGCGAACAGGAUUAGAUACCCUGGUAGUCCACGCCGUAAACGGUGGGCACUAGGUGUGGGACCCUUUCGACGGGUUCCGUGCCGUAGCUAACGCAUUAAGUGCCCCGCCUGGGGAGUACGGCCGCAAGGCUAAAACUCAAAGGAAUUGACGGGGGCCCGCACAAGCGGCGGAGCAUGUGGCUUAAUUCGAUGCAACGCGAAGAACCUUACCUGGGUUGAACUAUGCAGGAAAAGCAGUAGAGAUACUGUGUCCUUCGGGGCCUGCGAUAGGUGGUGCAUGGCC
This 538-nucleotide ribosomal RNA is filed under the name uncultured archaeon. RNAcentral describes it as "bacterial SSU rRNA". It matches the Rfam family "Bacterial small subunit ribosomal RNA", at positions 513 to 1050 of the family's 1533-position model. The record is from RNAcentral.